Molecule: long non-coding RNA, 3916 nt
Organism: Panthera uncia (snow leopard)
Lineage: Eukaryota; Metazoa; Chordata; Mammalia; Carnivora; Felidae
Exons: 3
Source: RefSeq, a predicted model, not a curated record
CAUAGUCACAUGAGGACGAGUGUCUUGGGGCUGAGGGAUCUCCAGGGAGUCCAGAGAUACGUGUGGUGCCCGGAGAAAGUCAGAAAGAGGCAUGCUGGCCCCAGGUACAGCUCACGGAAGCAGACAGUGAUUGGAGUCUGAGUGGCAUCGGCCCGAUGCUCGCCCCUGGGGUUGUCUCUGGCAGGGCAGCACCACGAACCCACAGGAGCUAUCCACAGGUAAUACAAUGAUCUCUAAUGACCAAACAUCUAUCUCACACUAAACUAGAUGCCACACACAUACAUUUAACUGACACCCUACUCUGCCAGCUUGGGACUGUUACCCCAUUUUUCAGAUAAGUAGACUGAGGCUCAGAGAUUUGGAUUCAUACAGAUGGAACCAGGAUUCCAGUGCAUUAGCUGUUGUAGGUGUGGCGCCUCAUGAGGGGGUAACUGGUGCUCACUGUUGAGGCUCCAGUGUCUGGCAUAGCACCAGCAUUGACUUGGUAAAAGAUAUCUUGUGGGUGUCUGUGGAUUAUAUAAAAUCAGGAGCACUCCCCGCACCCCAAAGCAUACCUCACAGGGAAACUGAGGACUCGACAACAGGAGCUGCAGCAUUGAGCCCUGCCCAUACUUGACCUGUUCCACCACAGGACACAUCACAAGGACCACAGCAGAGGGGUCGCUGCUUUUGCAUUUUUGGCAUCACCAGCCAUUGGCUUCCUUAUGUCUUAAUGUUUCCCAAGCUUAAAAUUAACUGUGAGAAGUGCAAACAUUCUGGGGACUCUUCUUGAGCCAAAGGUAUCGCCACCCAAACUUAAUCAAUAUGUUGAUAGAGUAGUUGGGUCCAGACUCCAUACGCUCUUGAGACAACCAUGAAAUGCCUUCAGAGGGGAAGAUGGUGCUCACCUUGGAAGCUGGACUGGUAGGUGAGUCCUUGCUGAUUCCCCCAGAUGGGAGAGGACUGAGUCAUGAUACACAAAUCCUGUACUUCCAGAGAGCCCUUAAAACUUGUCUGGAGCCUGGGCCCCUCUCUCUCCACCCUCCCCACCUUCUCCUCCCAAUGUCAAGCCUGGAAUAGCUUCAUCACGCUUAGUCCCGAAGCCUUGGCCCUUGGCCUUGCUGAAAGUCAAUGGAGACAGAUUCCUAGUUCCAUCUUGAAUAGAGACACUUGACGCAAGAAACUGUGUUGCUGAAAGUUACUUAUGAGUUGAUUCUUUGAAACUGUUGGAUACCAUCUACCCAUUGGGCAUGUUCUACAAGGCAGUGGAGGCUAGCCCACCACCGAUGAACGCUGCUGAACUGCUGAACUGUUAGUCUGAGUUUCUGGUCAUGGGGAUGAGGAGGGAGAGGAAGACAAGAGGCUUGUCUCUUUCUUGGUACAGGGCCACACCAGGCAAAAUGCUGUUUAUUAGUUUUUUUUUCUCUUUAACAGGCUCUCACACCCUCCUCUAUAUCCUGUUUCCCUGGGCUCUUGUCCCUCGUACUGUCUGGCACACCUGUAUUCUGGAAGGAAGGACAAGGCCCAGAUAUCCUGUGCUCCAAAAUUCUCUGCCUGCUCUCCUUGCUGGUCAGAACAUUCACCAGCACCUACAUCUGGAAAUCAACCCACACUCUGGUCCCCAAAGACUGUACCCAACAGAGGAGAGAGAACAACCCCCCAAAAUACUGCUCUCAGGAGAUAGGAGGUGGGUGCUGGGCAGCUAGACACCCAUAAACCUCCACCACAUACACCACACACACGAACUUUGGUCCCCUCUGGAGAGGAGGAACCUGUAUCACAAUCCUCUGGGAUGGUGGGAAUUUUUAGCACCGGAUGAUGAUUUGGUGAGUUUGUGCCAAAACAAAACACAACACCAAACAAAUACACAGGAAAAAUAGGCAAAUCACAAAAAGAGGGGGGAAAAAAGUAUAAAAUAAAAUAGAAAAAACUCCUUGGACAAGAAAUCAAAAUGAUGCUACCAAGAGACUCUGGGAUGGAGUACAAAUGUCCCCACUCUCCUUUUGGGUAGUAAUUACCAGGUGCAAUCAUAUACCUGGAUUUACACUGAGGUCCCAGAACUCCUAAGGGAGCCAACCACAAGACCAGGAGAGAAGCUGGAAGCAGGAAAGAAACAAGAGCAUGAGCUCGUGCACCAAAACUCCAAACCACACCAGAAAACUCAAUGCAAAUAAAGAUAUCCAACAAAAUCAGAAAAAGAAUUCGUUUCAGAAAGGCCUAAAAAGUAUAGGGUAAAACAAAAUAGGUUGAGAAUGUUUAAAGAGAUAAGUGGAAGUUACACUUCUACUAAAAAAAAAAAAAAAAAAAAAAAAAAAAGAACUGCAAAUUAUUCAAUAAAAAUGGGAAGUAAUGAAAUAAAAUCAGAUGGACAUAAAGAAUUGAUUAGAAAUCCUGGAAAUGAAAAAUAUAGUUUAAUAUUUAAAAAUUCAGUAAGAAGUGUAAAUGAGAUACAGUGGAAGCAAACAAUUGGAAUACAACACUGAGGAAAUCAACCAUCUUACUCACACACGUGCACACACACACAACCUUUCCACUUACACGUCUGACAGGCAUCUUAAGUGUUUUUAGCCAAGGAGCCCUACCUUCAAAUCCUACCUUCAAAUCACAUCUCUAUUAGGAGAACCAAAACAGGUCAGAACAGAGUCACUGUGGCUGAAGUGUGGUAGGACUUAUCUGUCAUUAAAUGAGCUAAUAUCAGGCUAACACUUAGUUACUUUCCUUCUGUUGCCCUCUUCGACAACUGCUUUACAAUCUUAAAACAUACAUUAUACCUCAACUAAGUAAUAAGCAUGUUGAAGACAGAAGCUACUUUAUUCUCCUAAGCCCUCAGUCUAGCUAGAAACUAAAACAUAAGGUUCACACUUUAUACAUACUUCCAUCAUGAUAGAAACAAUAGCUCCUUGUAUAGACUUUUUUUUUUUCAAAAAGUAAAAUUCUUGUUCCCCUUUGAUUAAAACAAUGGUUUUCCAGGGUGCCUGGGUGGCUCAGUUAGUUAAGUAUCUGAUUUUGGCUCAGGUCAUGAUUGCACAGUUCAUGGGUUCGAGUCAUGUGUCGGGCUCUGUGCUGACAGCUCAGAGCCUGGAGCCUGCUUCGGAUUCUGUGUCUCCCUCUCUCGCCACUCCCACCCCCAGUUCAUGGCUCUCUUCUUCAGAAAUAAACAUUAAAACAUUAAAAACAACAACAGUAUUUUUCCAAGGCCAACUCUAUUAUGUUGUUAUAGUAUUGAGGGAGGUUCAACCCAAGAAAAGGUACCAAAUAAAUCUACAUUAGGUAAAAUUUUGCACACUAAAUUUAAGAGUAAUUAAUGAAAAAAACAAAAACAAAAACAAACACUGCUCAAUACUAGUAAAGCCUAGUUUAAAAAGUAGAUCUUUAGCAAUCUAAUCAAGGAUAACUCACCCCUUCACACCAAAGAAAAUAUUAAGAAAAAGUGAUUGUUUCUUGGAAGACUUCUUGGAAGUAUAUACAAAUACAUAUAUAUAUAUAUAUAUAUAUAUACACAUACAUAUGUACACACAUACAUAUAUACACGUAUGUAUGUUUACAUACCCUUAUGAUAUCCAGUAUUUAGUAUUAUAAUGUAUAUAAUGUAUAAUAUAUACACACUAUACAGCUGGAUGUACAAGUAAUUUUUUUUUAAUCUAGGAAAACUAGCUGAUGUGCCCAAAAAAUAUAAAUUUAAUAAAAAAAAAAAAAAAAAAGUAGAGAGGGGCACCUGGGUGGCUCAGUUAAGCAUCCAACUCUUGGUUUCAGCUCAGGUCAUGAUCUCAUGGUUCCUGGAAUCAAUCAGGCCCCCAUCAGGCUCUCUGCACUGACAGGACAGAGCCUGCUUGGGAUUCUCUUUCUCCCUCUCUCUGCCCCUCCUCUGCUCAUGCUCUCUCUCAAGAUAAAUAUUUUUUUAAAAAGUAAAAAAAAAAAAAAAAAAAAAAAGAGAGAA